GGUCCAGUAACUCAAGUUCCUUUUUUUUCUAACUAGGUUCAAACGGUCCUCAGCUGUUUACAAUAGAGCAAUGGGGAACUCCUGAUAAACUGCCCAGAGCUCACACAUGCUUUAAUCGCUUAGACUUACCUCUUUAUGAAUCCUUCAGCGACCUGCGAGAGAAGCUCCUUGUGGCAGUUGAAAAUGCACAAGGAUUUGAAGGAGUGGAUUAGGGCACUGCUUCCCACCUUUCGGCGCGUUCUGCUGCACUUCCACGUCUCCACGUUGGACUCUGACUGUGGCAGAACCGUUGCACAGCGCUGGUUCCUGGAGCAAACUCUUCGACAGUGCAGUGGCCUAAAUGCAGAAUCUUGAAUUCUGGUCUGUGGAUGGCUUUUUUGGCAUUUCCACAGCCAGUUACUAUGGGGUUAUAUGUACUCUGAUUACAUUUCAGCAGAACUUACUGUAUUUAUGUUGUGCCUCUGUAGGCUGAGCCCUUAAUAAAAAUUCUACAUAAUUUCUAAUGACAAUGAAUGAAAUUAAUCAUUUUACAGGGAUAGUGUUACAACUCAUGUUUACUUUUUAGUUGAUUUAGACAUUUUCAGAUUAUAUUUCAUUACAAUUAAAUUUCAUGUAUUUGGGGAAAAAAUCAGCAUUUUUCUUAAUUUCUUACCAGACUUGAUGCCAGUGUCAUUUUUUUCAAGCUCAUUUUGAACCUUGUGUUCCCAAACUGUUAGGAAAAUAGGAGAUAGUUAUCUUGGAAUUCUUCUCUAUAUUGGCUAUAUCAAGAGCACAUAAAUAUUUUUCUGUAUCCAGAAGAGGUAUGGGUUCUAUGUUGCAUUUUUGUAUAAAUAACAGUUACGAGUUGAGGGACAGUCAUAACAUAGCAUGCCAAAUCUCAUGUUCAAUAAAGAAAUUGCCUCAUUAUUCCUUGGUGAUAUUUACAUGUAGUGAAGAACAUUUUGGGGUAGAGUUGGCAUUAAUCAUUUAGGAAAAUAUGCUUAACCCUGUCAUUAUCUUUGUGUAGUGGUUGUUUUAUUAUCCUUUCCUCUUUAUUGUGUGCAGUGAAGGUAUUUUGAAAGAAACGUGGCACUGUGUGAUUUGGUGUUAUGGAAAACAGAUCUGUUUUGUCUCCUAUUUGUAUGCAUUUGCUAAUGAUAUCUAAAUAUGGUAUCUUUUUGUUUCUAACUGUACCAACUCUAAAGGCACUUUAUGUAACACAUUGCAGUCAUAUCUGUGUUUUUUUUAUCAUAAACUUUAAUGUGAUUAUGUUCCUUCUCACUGCACAUGUCUUUCUGGUGCAAUAUCUAUCAGUUGUGAGUUUGGCUGCUGCUGAUGUAUAAAAGAGA
Molecule: non-coding RNA, 1328 nt
Organism: Meleagris gallopavo (turkey)
Lineage: Eukaryota; Metazoa; Chordata; Aves; Galliformes; Phasianidae
Source: RefSeq, a predicted model, not a curated record